GAGUUUGAUCCUGGCUCAGAACGAACGCUGGCGGCGUGCUUAACACAUGCAAGUCGAACGUGAUCCGGAGCUUGCUCCGGUGAAAGUGGCGCACGGGUGAGUGACGCGUGGAUAACCUGCCCUGGUAUCUGGGAUAACAUCUCGAAAGGGGUGCUAAUACCGGAUAAGCCCACGGACUCCUCGGAGUCUGCGGGAAAAGGUGGCCUCUAUUUAUAAGCUACCGUAUCAGGAUGGGUCCGCGUACCAUUAGCUAGUUGGUGGGGUAAUGGCCUACCAAGGCUACGAUGGUUAGCUGGUCUGAGAGGAUGAUCAGCCACACUGAACUGAGACACGGUCCAGACUCCUACGGGAGGCAGCAGUGGGGAAUUUUGCGCAAUGGGGGAAACCCUGACGCAGCAACGCCGCGUGAGUGAUGAAGGCUUUCGGGUCGUAAAGCUCUGUCAGAGGGGAAGAAAUGAAACGUGCUAAUAUCACGUUUUCUUGACGGUACCCUCAAAGGAAGCACCGGCUAACUCCGUGCCAGCAGCCGCGGUAAUACAAGGGUUWUUSKRAACAAUAUYYAUCACACUGKYRGSGGGGGCGAGCGGGSAAAACAGGWCCGGAGGASGACACUMAURUUUUCKG
RNAcentral lists this ribosomal RNA (624 nucleotides) under uncultured Geobacteraceae bacterium. RNAcentral's name for it is "partial 16S ribosomal RNA". The stretch from base 1 to 549 matches the Rfam family "Bacterial small subunit ribosomal RNA", at positions 9 to 546 of the family's 1533-position model. The record is from RNAcentral. Lineage: Bacteria; Pseudomonadati; Thermodesulfobacteriota; Desulfuromonadia; Geobacterales; Geobacteraceae.